CAGGAUUCUUUCAGAUUACUUCUUGUAUUUGAAUGUUGUUUUAGUUCGUGACAUAUUAUGUAAGAAAAUACAGUUCUUCACUAAAAGUUCUUCAAAUACAGUUCUUCGCUAAAAGUUCUUCACUAAGUAUGAAAUUUUUAAAAAUGUGAAAUCAAAGACAACUAUAAUUCAUUAUUAUGUUGGUCGGAUAGUUAUUAACUUCGUG
RNAcentral lists this unclassified non-coding RNA (205 nucleotides) under Hevea brasiliensis (rubber tree). Lineage: Eukaryota; Viridiplantae; Streptophyta; Magnoliopsida; Malpighiales; Euphorbiaceae. The record is from RNAcentral.